GAUGAACGCUGGCGGCGUGCCUAAUACAUGCAAGUAGAACGCUGAAGCAAGGAGCUUGCUCUUUCCGGGUGAGUGGCGGACGGGUGAGUAACGCGUAGGUAACCUGCCUGGUAGCGGGGGAUAACUACUGGAAACGAUAGCUAAUACCGCAUAACAGUAGAUGUUGCAUGAUAUAUACUUAAUAGGUGCAAUUGCACCACUACCAGAUGGACCUGCGUUGUAUUAGUUAGUUGGUGAGGUAACGGCCCACCAAGGGGACGGUACCUAGCCGGCCUGGAGGGGUCAAUGGCCACACUGGGACCGAGGCACCGCCCAAGCUUCUACCGGAGGGCGCCGGUGGGGAUUAUCGGCCAUGGGCGGAAGGCUUGACGAACAACGCCGGCGUGGUGGAGGAAGUCCUCGGGUUGGUAAGCUCCUUUUUAUGAGAAAAAAGAGCGGCAGAGUGAAAAGUUCACGUUGUGACGGUACCUAACCAGAAAGCGACGGCUAACUACGUG
This 497-nucleotide ribosomal RNA is filed under the name uncultured bacterium. RNAcentral describes it as "partial 16S ribosomal RNA". It matches the Rfam family "Bacterial small subunit ribosomal RNA", at positions 28 to 507 of the family's 1533-position model. The record is from RNAcentral.